Molecule: ribosomal RNA, 327 nt
Filed under: uncultured eukaryote
Lineage: Eukaryota
Description: partial 18S ribosomal RNA
Rfam family: Eukaryotic small subunit ribosomal RNA
Source: RNAcentral
CCCUUAGACGUUCUGGGCCGCACGCGCGCUACACUGACGGAGCCAGCGAGCUUUUCCUUAACCGAGAGGUUUGGGUAAUCUUGUGAAACUCCGUCGUGCUGGGGAUAGAGCAUUGUAAUUAUUGCUCUUCAACGAGGAAUUCCUAGUAAGCGCAAGUCAUCAGCUUGCGUUGAUUACGUCCCUGCCCUUUGUACACACCGCCCGUCGCACCUACCGAUUGAAUGACUCGGUGAAAAAUUGGGACCGUGAGUCUGUUUGCUUCAUUGCGAGUGGAUUGAUGGGAACUUUUUUAAACCUCGCCAUUUAGAGGAAGGUGAAGUCGUAACA